GACGUAGGGCGCGAGCGUUGUCCGGAUUUAUUGGGCGUAAAGAGCUCGUAGGCGGCUUGUCGCGUCGACCGUGAAAACUCUAGGCUCAACCUAGAGACGCCACCUGAUACUGCCGUGGCUAGAGUCCGGUAGGGGAGCAUGGAAUUCCUGGUGUAGCGGUGAAAUGCGCAGAUAUCAGGAGGAACACCAGUGGCGAAGGCGGUGCUCUGGGCCGGAACUGACGCUGAGGAGCGAAAGCGUGGGGAGCAAACAGG
This 254-nucleotide ribosomal RNA is filed under the name uncultured bacterium. Its description in RNAcentral is "partial 16S ribosomal RNA". It matches the Rfam family "Bacterial small subunit ribosomal RNA", at positions 524 to 776 of the family's 1533-position model. The record is from RNAcentral.